This 1365-nucleotide long non-coding RNA is filed under the name Felis catus (domestic cat). RNAcentral describes it as "lncRNA (ENSFCAG00000047937.1)". The record is from RNAcentral. Lineage: Eukaryota; Metazoa; Chordata; Mammalia; Carnivora; Felidae.
GUCCUCUAGUCUUCUCUUUGGAUGACAUCACCUCCUUUGAGGAACUUGGGGGUUGGUUUUUGUUUUGGCAAUGAUCCCAAAGGAAGAGGAUGCCUUUACUGUCGGAGAGAACUUUGGUGCCCUCUACUGGUGGUUUUGGUUUCUUCAAAUUGCAGGCCUCCAUUUGAUGGUUCAUGGAAUCCAUUUAGUGGGUUCUAUCAAAAUUUUCUUAAAAAGUGAAAAUGUAGAUUACCAUAUAGUAAGUAUAAAUAUUUAUUUGUGAAACUUUGUUUCCAGUAUGUAUAUGUGAAUGCAGAAUCCAGGUGAUUUCCAGUUAGCAACAUUUAGCACCUAUAUCCAGCAGGAUAUAGAGUUAGCAUGAGGGGAGUGAGGCAGGGUGGAAUAAGUGCAGGGUUAGAUCCUAUCUCUAUUUAAAAUUUUGAAAUUUGGUUUAUAAUGGGUUUUGUGCAUUAAUUUUGAUUUUAAAAAAGCAUUGCUUUACAAUAGUAUUUAUUUUGAUUACUGAGCUUUUUGGUGCCCUAAGUGAGUGUCUCGCUUGUGUCUCUCUGACAGUCAGUGUGCUUUAUGGAGGGCCUGGAGAAGGUGGGCCAGCCUGUGGAGCCGUGAAUAGGAGGCACACGUGGGGAUGAGAAGGGACAAUGCGUGUGAUGUCUUCUUCUGAGGGACCCUCCAUUUGGACUGCCAUUGGGAUCACCCAGUUCCAGCUGACCGGCCAUCUGAACCUGACUGAGGUGCCAGUUUUCUGUCAUUUAGGAUUGAAUUCAACUGGUUGUUUUCAAUACUUCAAGGUAGAAGACACUCCUACUUUAUUAUUCUCCUUUGUGCCUAGUAUAAAUGUUACGGAGCCAGGCUGGAAUGCUGGUGGAAAAACCAAGCGGCACUCAGAGAUCUUGGUGGAUCAGAGAUUUAUUUAACACCAGCGGGCUCAGAGGAGACUGUUUCUCCAAAGAUCUGAGCGCCGAAUGCAAGUGGGGAGGGUAAUUUACAGUUGUCAGCUUCCAUAAGUGUGGAGGUUUUCGUGAGCGCAGCAAACCAAGGAAGAACCCGGAGGAGUGGUCUCUAAGCUAGAGACCAGAGCUUGUUUUAGUCCCGUUGGCCAUCUUUGGCGCAGUAUUUUAUUCAUUUCUCUGACAUAAGUACUUACAUAGAAAGUACUCAAAUACUAACAGGAUGAAUCGAAAUACUGGAAAUUGUUGUAGUUUAGUGUAAAUUAAAAUGCAGACCUCGAUCACCUUAAUUACAACUUCAAUGGGUAUGGUUGGUUUUGCAUAUAUUUUAGGAUCAGAAAGUAGACUCAACAAGGAAAUGAGUUACUAGCAGGGGUGAGGCAAUAAAGGAGAGGUGACUGUAGUAAACCGGCUUAGU